Molecule: long non-coding RNA, 1532 nt
Organism: Monodelphis domestica (gray short-tailed opossum)
Lineage: Eukaryota; Metazoa; Chordata; Mammalia; Didelphimorphia; Didelphidae
Source: RefSeq, a predicted model, not a curated record
GUUAGGUUAGGCUUAAAGGGGAGACCUAUGUGAGAUAAGGUCCAGGUCAAAAGGACCUUAAAUGCUACGGAAAGAAAUCUCCAUUUUAUUUUUUGGUGGUAAUGGGGAUCCAUUGAAGGUUUCAGCGUAGAUCUGAUCCAGUUUCACUAGGAAAUUGGGAAAUCUAGUGCAUUAGGGAGAAUUGGGAAAUCUUCCUAGUGCACUAAGAAGAUAAUGGAAAACAGAAUUUAAAAUGGAUUGGAGGGCACAGCUGCGUGACUCAGUGGAGAGAGAACCAUGCCUGGAGACAGGAGGUCUUGGAUUCAUAUAUGGCCUCAGAUAUUUCCUAGCUAUUUGGCUUUGGGUUCACAGCACAUAUUUUUGUUGUUGAAAAGAAUUUCCAGAACAAAAAACAUUGAAACCACUGGACCAGGCUGAGAUUUCUGUGAUUCACUGAUAAAUGAUUAGAAACAGCAGAGACAACUUUGCCAUCACCCCUAAGAAGCCCACCUUCUCAUCCUGAAAUUGAAAAGCUGGGGAGAACCAGAUUUGUGAUUUUAUUGAUAUAUGGAUCUCCUAGCUCAUUUUACAGAUGAGGAAACUGAGGCCAAUGGAGUAAAAUGACUUGCCCAGGGUCACACAAUUCUAAGACUUGGAGCUGGAAGGGAUCACAGGGGCUGUCUUGGCCAAGCCCUUCAUCUUGCCUAGUGAAGUUGGUAAUUUAAUAGUAUUUCACAUUUAUAGAAGGCUUUAAGGUUUGCAGAACUCUUGCAGAAAAAACAACCCUUAUCUCCUGUCUUAGAACUGUAAAGGAUAAUUUUAGCGUUGUGACUUAAAAUCUAAAUUUAAUUGGUCACCAGGGAAAAUUCCAAAUAAUAAAAUACCCAAGUCAGCUGGAAAUUUUAUGGUGAUUUAAUUGAUAUAGUGGAGGAGAUUAAGAAGAAGGAAGAAGGAAAGGGAGUAGGAUUUCUCCCUUUUGGCUAGAACCGGGCAGGAAGAUUAGGAGAUCUAGAAAGUAAGGUUUUGGAGUGUAAAGGAGGAAGUUAUCAACCUGAACUCCAAAAGGGCUCAGCCAAGAUGCCUGAACCUGAAUCAUCUCAAGGGCAAACCCAGACAAAUAACUGCCACCACUCCAAGAUGUCGGAACGCCUAGCACGCUGCCAGCCAGAGUCACCUUUCCAGGGAAAGAGGGCAAAGAGAGCCAGUGAUGUGCCUUAUAUAGUCACUUUCCUGCAUCUCAUCUGUACCAAUGAUAGCUUAGCUUGACUUAGGAUAGACUUAGGGGUCUGUCCACUGUUUUCUGCACAUGUCUGUUGAAGGCCAUUUUCUCAGAUAAUUAAAUCUUUGAGUAUGGAACAGACAUUCCUGACCUUGUUAAACUGAGUAGGGUGGAGAAAUGUAGAGUUCUCAAGACUUGAUUCUAUUAAACCAAGUAUCGCCAUUUUUACUAAUCAGGAAAUAGCUAAAUCAGAUCUUCUAAAGUAUGGUGUGUUAGGGUGGAAGAGUUUUAAAAUUCACAGAACCUAUACUAAGUAUUGAUUCUAAGCCUAAAG